CAGUAGCCGCGGUAAUACGAAGGGGGCUAGCGUUGCUCGGAUUUACUGGGCGUAAAGGGUGCGUAGGCGGACCGUUUAGUUGGGGGUGAAAGCCCGGGGCUCAACCUCGGAAUUGCCUUCAAUACUGGCGGUCUUGAGUAUGGAAGAGGUAAGUGGAACUCCGAGUGUAGAGGUGAAAUUCGUAGAUAUUCGGAAGAACACCGGUGGCGAAGGCGACUUACUGGUCCAUUACUGACGCUGAGGCACGAAAGCGUGGGGAGCAAACAGGAUUAGAUACCCCAGUAGUCCCUGUCUCUUAUAC
This 301-nucleotide ribosomal RNA is filed under the name uncultured bacterium. RNAcentral describes it as "partial 16S ribosomal RNA". It matches the Rfam family "Bacterial small subunit ribosomal RNA", at positions 509 to 807 of the family's 1533-position model. The record is from RNAcentral.